GAUGAACGCUGGCGGCGUUCCUAAUACAUGCCAGUCGAGCGAACAGACGAGGAGCUUGCUCCUCUGACGUUAGCGGCGGACGGGUGAGUAACACGUGGGUAACCUACCUAUAAGACUGGGAUAACUUCGGGAAACCGGAGCUAAUACCGGAUAAUAUAUUGAACCGCAUGGUUCAAUAGUGAAAGACGGUUUUGCUGUCACUUAUAGAUGGAUCCGCGCCGCAUUAGCUAGUUGGUAAGGUAACGGCUUACCAAGGCAACGAUGCGUAGCCGACCUGAGAGGGUGAUCGGCCACACUGGAACUGAGACACGGUCCAGACUCCUACGGGAGGCAGCAGUAGGGAAUCUUCCGCAAUGGGCGAAAGCCUGACGGAGCAACGCCGCGUGAGUGAUGAAGGUCUUCGGAUCGUAAAACUCUGUUAUUAGGGAAGAACAAAUGUGUAAGUAACUAUGCACGUCUUGACGGUACCUAAUCAGAAAGCCACGGCUAACUACGUG
Molecule: ribosomal RNA, 497 nt
Filed under: uncultured bacterium
Lineage: Bacteria
Description: partial 16S ribosomal RNA
Rfam family: Bacterial small subunit ribosomal RNA
Source: RNAcentral